UAAUUUGAUGUUGAUGUUUUGUUUUCCAUAUUUGCUCCAUAAAUAAGUAGAAAGUUUCAAACAACAUUUCAAAAAUGGGAGAAGUGGAAGAGCAGAAUUACUUUUACAUUUUAUUUUAAUACUAGAAAAGGGACCUUAAAUAUGUAAAUUUUCAAAGUAACUGCUGCCUAUUUUGCUGAUUAGUUAAUGGUGCUUUAUGUAUCUACUGUUCUCUUGGUCACCUCUAAUUUCUUUACCACAUUGUUGCAUUAAAAAAUUACUGAUUUACUUGCUUUAAAAAUGGUAAUUAAUAACUUCUUUUUGCCCGUUUCUAUAGAUUAUCCAACAAAUGAAAAGGAAGAGGUCAAAAGCUCUUCACCUUGCACAAGAUUAUGCAGUAAAUUUUGAACUUGCGAGGAGGGAGGCAACUGAAUAUUAAUUUGGAAACUACUGAACUCAAAUUAUCUGCAGUGGCAUUUCUCCCCAAUUUGGCUUGCUCAUCACACUUGUAUACUCUAGAACGCUACUUUCUGCAGUUAAUUAAGAUUUUCCAAUAAGUGAAAAAGAAUUAAACAUCAGUUUGGUCAUGCUAAAACAACUGAUGUCUACAUGGGUGGCGUUUUGCUGGACUUCAUUGUUGAUUUGCUGUUUUCGUCUUCACCUUCCAACAUUAUGCAGUUCUUAAUGGAGGAGUGAGAGCAACUGGAGAUUUAUUUGAAGUCUACUAAAACGAUAAAUUUUCUGCUAUGGUAUUCGUCUUGAAUUUGAUUCUGCAGUUAAUUAAGGUUUUCCAACAAGUGAAAGAGAAAGAUUCGUUUGGUCAUUCUGAAACACCGAUGUCUACACGUGGGUGGCGUUUUCCUGGACUUCAUUGUUAAUUUGCUGUUUUCGUCUUCACCUUCCAGCAUUAUGCAGUUAAUUCUCAACGGAGCAGUGAGAGCAACUGGAGAUUUAUAAGAAGUCUACUGAAAUGGCAAAUUUGGUG
This is a long non-coding RNA of Agrilus planipennis (emerald ash borer), 964 nucleotides long. RefSeq lists it as uncharacterized. NCBI's taxonomy places the organism in Eukaryota, Metazoa, Arthropoda, Insecta, Coleoptera, Buprestidae. The transcript is spliced from 3 exons. The record is from RefSeq and is a predicted model, not a curated record.